Long non-coding RNA from Cebus imitator (Panamanian white-faced capuchin), 574 nucleotides. RefSeq lists it as uncharacterized. NCBI's taxonomy places the organism in Eukaryota, Metazoa, Chordata, Mammalia, Primates, Cebidae. The record is from RefSeq and is a predicted model, not a curated record. The transcript has 2 exons.
GGAGCUCCCUGGGAGCUGGCUAGUGGCAGCUCCUCCCCACUGCUCAGCAUCAUCACUUCCCCCACUUCUUCUUCUCUAAAAGGAAGGUGGACCCUGGGAGUCAAGGCCCUGCCUCUGGUGAUUUCAGCUCCUUGCUUGCUGUGUGACCUUGAAUAAGUGCCCUGCCCCUCUCUGGGCCUCCGUUCUCUCCAAGUCUCCACCCUUAUUGCUAAUGUCCUACCAUCUCCUGAAUCAGAAUCCUUUUGGAAAUGUGUUAUUGUUUUCACUGCUUUCUGUCUCUGCUGGGGAGUACACACAGGGUUGAGAGCAGAACACUGGGACAUUUGACAACACAAAAGUAGUAAUAAUACCGGCUUUUGUGUGUGUGCCCUUUAUCAAGUGCCUGUGUGUGCCAGGCACUUUGAUCACCAGUAAUCCCCAUACAAGCCCUAUGGGGGCAGCAUUAUUAUCUCCCUUGAUAAGACUGAGUAACCAAGGCUCAGAGAGGUGAAGUCACUUGUCUAAGACCACACAGUGAGGGAAGGAAGGAGAUGGCAUUUUCCUACCCCCUGCUAAGUUGCAGCUGCAAAGAGGC